This 641-nucleotide ribosomal RNA is filed under the name uncultured Bacteroidota bacterium. Its description in RNAcentral is "bacterial SSU rRNA". It matches the Rfam family "Bacterial small subunit ribosomal RNA", at positions 795 to 1439 of the family's 1533-position model. Lineage: Bacteria; Pseudomonadati; Bacteroidota. The record is from RNAcentral.
CCACGCUGUAAACGAUGUUCACUCGCUGUUUGCGAUACACAGUAAGCGGCUGAGCGAAAGCAUUAAGUGAACCACCUGGGGAGUACGAUCGCAAGGUUGAAACUCAAAGGAAUUGACGGGGGCCCGCACAAGCGGAGGAACAUGUGGUUUAAUUCGAUGAUACGCGAGGAACCUUACCUGGGCUUAAAUGUAUACUGCAUGGGGUGGAAACACUCCUUCCCUUCGGGGCUGUUUACAAGGUGCUGCAUGGUUGUCGUCAGCUCGUGCCGUGAGGUGUCGGGUUAAGUCCCAUAACGAGCGCAACCCUUACCGUUAGUUGCCAUCAGGUCAUGCUGGGGACUCUAGCGGGACUGCCACCGUAAGGUGAGAGGAAGGUGGGGAUGGCGUCAAAUUAGCACGGCCCUUAUGUCCAGGGCUACACACGUGUUACAAUGGCCGGUACAAAGGGCAGCUACACAGCGAUGUGAUGCUAAUCUCUAAAGCCGGUCCCAGUUCGGAUUGGAGUCUGCAACCCGACUCCAUGAAGUUGGAUUCGCUAGUAAUCGCGCAUCAGCCAUGGCGCGGUGAAUACGUUCCCGGGCCUUGUACACACCGCCCGUCAAACCAUGGGAGCUGGGGGUGCCUGAAGUCUGUGACCGAAA